RNAcentral lists this ribosomal RNA (468 nucleotides) under uncultured bacterium. RNAcentral's name for it is "partial 16S ribosomal RNA". It matches the Rfam family "Bacterial small subunit ribosomal RNA", at positions 28 to 507 of the family's 1533-position model. The record is from RNAcentral.
GACGAACGCUGGCGGCGUGCUUAACACAUGCAAGUCGAACGGAAAGGCCCUGCUUUUGUGGGGUGCUCGAGUGGCGAAGGGGUGAGUGACACGUGAGUAACCUGCCCCUGUCUUUGGGAGAAAUUUACGAAACUGGGGCUAAUAUCGGAUAGGAGCUUUUGAUGCAUGGUGGGCGUUGGUAAGAGUCGGUGGUUGGGGAUGGUAUCGCGGCUUAUCCGCUUGUUGGUGGGGUAGGGGCUUACCAAGCCUUUGACGGGUAGCCGGCCUGAGAGGGGGACCGGCCACAUUGGGACUAAGAGACGGCCCAGACGCCUACGGGAGGCAGCAGUGGGGAGUAUUGCACAAUGGGCGGAAGCCUGAGGCAGCAACGCCGCGUGCGGGAUGACGGCCUUCGGGUGGUAAACCGCUUUCGCCUGUGACGAAGCGAGAGUGACGGUAAUGGGUAAAGAAGCACCGGCUAACUACGUG